AAUACAAAUUGGGACAAAGUGAAGAUCACACAAGGCUUGUCUAUCUGAUUAUUUCCAGGGGCCAUUGAUGAGAUGUGGGCAGCACAGCAGCGACACCUGGAGUGCAUUCAGACAUGAGCAUGUAUAGGGUGGCCCAUACCACAACAAUAAACAACGUGGAUGUCCCCUAUUACAAAUGUCUGCGUGGAAGCAAUAGCCUGGAAGGGUUCCACAAAUUACUUCCUAACAUGAUUCCAGGUCCCCACUGCGCAGCACGUCCCUAUCAGGUUUACCUGAUAAGUGGUAUUGCAAGGUGGAACUCUGACAGGAGCUCAGAUGCUGUAUUUGGUGGCAAAGGACGGCAUCACAGGAUUUACUCUGCACCGUUGAUCGAUCGCCUCAACACUCGCUGCUAGCAGCUGUUUGGAGAACCUGUAGAAGUAAACUUCCGUGGCCCAGCUGAUCUCACAUCAAAUGAAUUGCUCAGGUUGGAGUACUUGUUCAGUCAAAGCACUGGAGAGUCUGGAACUUUCUCUCUGGAGGGCAUCGUCAGUGAUGGACCUGGUCCUGAGGAGGAGGUGGUUCAGCCUGGGCAACCCGAACCAGAUGAUCGCGUUACACAUACCAGAGUGACGAAGAGGCAUGCGACACUGUAUUGGAUACUGUCCUUCCCCACAUUACACUGACCAAUGAUGAGACCUCCACAGUUCACCCUCCAGCCUUUGAAGAUGCUUGCAGUUCAAACCCCCUUCCUGGAUUUGAAAAGCUGGAAAUGUUCUGCUCUGUGCUUGUGGAGAUUAGCCUGAUAGAGGACAAGCUAUCACUUACCACUGAGCAGAGGAACAAGGUCCUCCAAACCUGGAAUAGCGUGGAGGAGCAUGACAAGCAGCCACAAAAGUUUAACCAGCUGUACAAGACCUACUGGGGCAACACCCUCUACUGCCGCACUAAAAGGGAUGACCUUGUUGAUGCUGCUCUUAUACAGAGAGUAAAGAUGGCGAAGCGCUAUGCACCUGCACAACAUGACAUCAGCGCUCAGAGCAACAGGCUAAUGUACACUCUGGUUAAACUUUUGUGGUUGCGCUCACCUCAGGGGUCUCGCAACAGUCCAGAGAAUCUGUCUAUUUUAAAGGCCUACGAGCGAAUACAGCACCGGAUUCUGGUGGAAGAUGCGGUUCUCUGUAAAGCAGGCAUUCCUCUCCCUAAAAUUAACAUCAAGACUGUGCGGGACUUCAUUUGUCAGCAAGAAAGGAUCCUCAAUCUGCAUGCAACAAAACAUCCAUCGAUUUUGACCAAGAUCACCUCCAUCUCAUCUGCACACCUACCUCCAGCACCACACCAACCAGCAGUACUCCCUCCUCCAGACUACCCCCUGUUGAAAUAUGAGCCCACGCCCAGCACUGCAGGGACCAAGGUUUUGAAGGGAAGGAGAGACUUGCUGAUGCCAGUCUCCCA
Molecule: long non-coding RNA, 1434 nt
Organism: Oreochromis aureus
Lineage: Eukaryota; Metazoa; Chordata; Actinopteri; Cichliformes; Cichlidae
Source: Ensembl